ACUCUUCCGGUUGCAGCCUGAGAAAUCAGGCUGAUGGCUGGUGACUUUUUAGUCACCAGCCU
RNAcentral lists this small RNA (62 nucleotides) under Escherichia coli. RNAcentral describes it as "Pseudomonas sRNA P26". It matches the Rfam family "Pseudomonas sRNA P26". From Rfam's summary of the family: P26 is conserved across many Gammaproteobacteria species and appears to be consistently located between the DNA directed RNA polymerase (beta subunit) and 50S ribosomal protein L7/L12 genes. The record is from RNAcentral. Lineage: Bacteria; Pseudomonadati; Pseudomonadota; Gammaproteobacteria; Enterobacterales; Enterobacteriaceae.